UAUGGGAGGGGGCUUGCUCCCGAUGGCGGUCCUUCAGCCGAGCAUUUAUUGGCUGAUACUCCGCUAUCGGGAGCAAGCCCCCUCCCACA
Molecule: unclassified non-coding RNA, 89 nt
Filed under: Pseudomonas fluorescens
Lineage: Bacteria; Pseudomonadati; Pseudomonadota; Gammaproteobacteria; Pseudomonadales; Pseudomonadaceae
Source: RNAcentral